Molecule: ribosomal RNA, 377 nt
Filed under: uncultured bacterium
Lineage: Bacteria
Description: bacterial SSU rRNA
Rfam family: Bacterial small subunit ribosomal RNA
Source: RNAcentral
GACGAACGCUGGCGGCGUGCCUAACACAUGCAAGUCGCACGGGAUUGGGGGCAACUCCAGUUCAGUGGCAGAUGGGUGCGUAACACGUGAGGAACUUGUCCGACGGCGGGGAUAGCCGGCCCAACGGCCGGGUAAUACCGCGUACGCUCAUUUGGGGACAUCCCCGGGUGAGGAAAGCAGCCGCAAGGUUGCGCCGAUGGAGAGCCUCGCGGCGUAUCAGCUAGNGGCGGGUAACGGCCCACCAAGGCUACGACGCGUAGCUGGUCUGAGAGGAUGGCCAGCCACAUUGGGACUGAGACACGGCCCAGACUCCUACGGGAGGCAGCAGUGGGAAUAUUGCGCAAUGGACCGAAGGCUGACGCAGCGACGCCGCGUGU